RNAcentral lists this ribosomal RNA (507 nucleotides) under uncultured bacterium. RNAcentral's name for it is "bacterial SSU rRNA". It matches the Rfam family "Bacterial small subunit ribosomal RNA", at positions 29 to 523 of the family's 1533-position model. The record is from RNAcentral.
AGUGAACGCUGGCGGCAGGCCUAAUACAUGCAAGUCGAACGGCAGCACAGCAGAGCUUGCUCUGUGGGUGGCGAGUGGCGGACGGGUGAGGAAUACGUGGGAAUCUGCCCAGUCGUGGGGGAUAACGUAGGGAAACUUACGCUAAUACCGCAUGCGCCCUUCGGGGAAAGCCGGGGACCUUCGGGCCUGGCGCGAUUGGAUGAGCCCACGUCGGAUUAGCUAGUUGGCGGGGUAAAGGCCCACCAAGGCGACGAUCCGUAGCUGGUCUGAGAGGAUGAUCAGCCACACUGGAACUGAGACACGGUCCAGACUCCUACGGGAGGCAGCAGUAGGGAAUAUUGGACAAUGGGCGUAAGCCUGAUCCAGCCAUGCCGCGUGAGUGAAGAAGGCCCUCGAGUUGUAAAGCUCUUUUGUCCGGAAAGAAAAGACGCCGGGUUAAUACCCUGGUGUCCUGACGGUACCGGAAGAAUAAGCAACCGGCUAACUUCGUGCCAGCAGCCGCGGUAU